Molecule: ribosomal RNA, 641 nt
Filed under: Curtobacterium sp. I13A-01639
Lineage: Bacteria; Bacillati; Actinomycetota; Actinomycetes; Micrococcales; Microbacteriaceae
Description: bacterial SSU rRNA
Rfam family: Bacterial small subunit ribosomal RNA
Source: RNAcentral
AGUGGCGAACGGGUGAGUAACACGUGAGUAACCUGCCCCUGACUCUGGGAUAAGCGUUGGAAACGACGUCUAAUACUGGAUAUGAUCGCCGGCCGCAUGGUCUGGUGGUGGAAAGAUUUUUUGGUUGGGGAUGGACUCGCGGCCUAUCAGCUUGUUGGUGAGGUAAUGGCUCACCAAGGCGACGACGGGUAGCCGGCCUGAGAGGGUGACCGGCCACACUGGGACUGAGACACGGCCCAGACUCCUACGGGAGGCAGCAGUGGGGAAUAUUGCACAAUGGGCGAAAGCCUGAUGCAGCAACGCCGCGUGAGGGAUGACGGCCUUCGGGUUGUAAACCUCUUUUAGUAGGGAAGAAGCGAAAGUGACGGUACCUGCAGAAAAAGCACCGGCUAACUACGUGCCAGCAGCCGCGGUAAUACGUAGGGUGCAAGCGUUGUCCGGAAUUAUUGGGCGUAAAGAGCUCGUAGGCGGUUUGUCGCGUCUGCUGUGAAAUCCCGAGGCUCAACCUCGGGCUUGCAGUGGGUACGGGCAGACUAGAGUGCGGUAGGGGAGAUUGGAAUUCCUGGUGUAGCGGUGGAAUGCGCAGAUAUCAGGAGGAACACCGAUGGCGAAGGCAGAUCUCUGGGCCGUAACUGACGCUG